GUCCACGCCGUAAACGUUGGGCGCUAGGUGUGGGGCUCUUUCCACGAGUUCCGUGCCGCAGCUAACGCAUUAAGCGCCCCGCCUGGGGAGUACGGCCGCAAGGCUAAAACUCAAAGGAAUUGAACGGGGGCCCGCACAAGCGGCGGAGCAUGCGGAUUAAUUCGAUGCAACGCGAAGAACCUUACCAAGGCUUGACAUGGGGCGAAAACUGGCAGAGAUGUCAGGUCCGCAAGGGCGCCUCACAGGUGGUGCAUGGUUGUCGU
Molecule: ribosomal RNA, 263 nt
Filed under: uncultured bacterium
Lineage: Bacteria
Description: partial 16S ribosomal RNA
Rfam family: Bacterial small subunit ribosomal RNA
Source: RNAcentral